CUACGUAGGGAGCGAGCGUUGUCCGGAAUUACUGGGCGUAAAGGGCGCGUAGGCGGCGCUUCAAGUCGUCUGUCAAAUGGGAGGGCUUAACCCUUUUUCGCAGACGAAACUGGAGAGCUUGAGAAGCAGAGAGGCAAACAGAAUUCCUGGUGUAGCGGUGAAAUGCGUAGAUAUCAGGAAGAAUACCAGUGGCGAAGGCGGUUUGCUGGCUGCAUACUGACGCUGAAGCGCGAAAGCCAGGGGAGCGAACGGGAUUAGAUACCCCGGUAGUCCUGGCAGUAAACGAUGUAUGCUGGGUGUGAGACUAGCGAUAGUUUCGUGCCGAAGUUAACGCGAUAAGCAUACCGCCUGGGGAGUACGGUCGCAAGAUUGAAACUCAAAUGAAUUGACGGGG
This 394-nucleotide ribosomal RNA is filed under the name uncultured bacterium. Its description in RNAcentral is "partial 16S ribosomal RNA". It matches the Rfam family "Bacterial small subunit ribosomal RNA", at positions 523 to 918 of the family's 1533-position model. The record is from RNAcentral.